UGUGGUGAGAGAGAGUUACCUGCAGGUAAUGCUGAAGCCUACAGUAUGAUCAGCUCUGAACCUGGUGCUGACUGUCCUACUGGUUCUGAAAAACCAAAAGGGGGGGAGCUUAAAAAUGAGGAUGACACAUACCAUAUGUACUCCAUCAUCUCUGAGGAGCAAACUGCAUCAGCACCGAAGAAUAUGGUGUACAGCACCAUACAGGCACAU
Thunnus maccoyii (southern bluefin tuna) is the source of this 210-nucleotide long non-coding RNA. RefSeq lists it as uncharacterized. The transcript has 4 exons. The record is from RefSeq and is a predicted model, not a curated record. Lineage: Eukaryota; Metazoa; Chordata; Actinopteri; Scombriformes; Scombridae.